ACACGACUACAUUAGAUACCCCCGUAGUCCUAGCCGUAAACGAUACUCGCUAGGUGUCGGCCACGGUGCGACCGUUGUCGGUGCCGUAGGGAAGCCGUGAAGCGAGCCACCUGGGAAGUACGGCCGCAAGGCUGAAACUUAAAGGAAUUGGCGGGGGAGCACAACAACGGGUGGAGCUUGCGGUUUAAUUGGAUUCAACGCCGGAAAUCUUACCGGGACCGACAGCAACAUGAAGGCCAAGCUGAAGACUUUACCGGAUUAGCUG
RNAcentral lists this ribosomal RNA (265 nucleotides) under uncultured archaeon. RNAcentral describes it as "partial 16S ribosomal RNA". It matches the Rfam family "Archaeal small subunit ribosomal RNA", at positions 717 to 982 of the family's 1478-position model. The record is from RNAcentral.